CAUGCAAGUCGAACGCAGUAGCAAUACUGAGUGGCAAACGGGUGAGUAUAAUGUGGGAAUCUGCCUUUUGGUUUGGAAUAACACGGGGAAACUUGUGCUAAUACCGAAUAAGCCUUUACAGGGAAAGUUUUAACGCCGAAAGAUGAGCCCGCACUUGAUUAGCUAGUUGGUAAGGUAAAAGCUUACCAAGGCGAUAAUCAAUAGCUGUUCUUAGAGGAAGACCAGCCACAUUGGGACUGAGACACGGCCCAGACUCCUACGGGAGGCAGCAGUGGGGAAUCUUGCACAAUGGGGGAAACCCUGAUGCAGCGAUGCCGCGUGAGUGAAGAAGGCCUUUGGGUUGUAAAACUCUUUCGUCGGGGAAGAAAAUGACUGUACCCGAAUAAGAAGGUCCGGCUAACUUCGUGCCAGCAGCCGCGGUAAUACGAAGGGACCUAGCGUAGUUCGGAAUUACUGGGCUUAAAGAGCUCGUAGGUGGUUAAAAAAGUUGAUGGUGAAAUCCCAAGGCUUAACCUUGGAACUGCCAUCAAAACUUUUUAGCUAGAGUGUGAUAGAGGUAAGUGGAAUUUCUAGUGUAGAGGUGAAAUUCGUAGAUAUUAGAAAGAACACCAAAUGCGAAGGCAACUUACUGGGUCACUACUGACA
This 645-nucleotide ribosomal RNA is filed under the name uncultured bacterium. RNAcentral's name for it is "bacterial SSU rRNA". It matches the Rfam family "Bacterial small subunit ribosomal RNA", at positions 54 to 745 of the family's 1533-position model. The record is from RNAcentral.